AUUUAAUAUAAUACUGUAAGUGUUGGAUGAUAAUUUAUAUAUUGUUCAUGCGUAAGAGGAAAACAGGUGAAAAUCCUGUACUGUCCCGCAACUGUAUGCGAGGAGUUCUGAUUUAUUAGAUCCACUGAAAGAAAUUUUGGGAAGGAAAAUUAGAGCUGUGAUACGUGAGUCAGAAAACCUGCUUAGAGUUAGAUUUAUUG
RNAcentral lists this non-coding RNA (200 nucleotides) under Clostridium butyricum. RNAcentral also lists the same sequence under 1 other name. Lineage: Bacteria; Bacillati; Bacillota; Clostridia; Eubacteriales; Clostridiaceae. The record is from RNAcentral.